Molecule: ribosomal RNA, 352 nt
Filed under: uncultured bacterium
Lineage: Bacteria
Description: bacterial SSU rRNA
Rfam family: Bacterial small subunit ribosomal RNA
Source: RNAcentral
AGAGUUUGAUCCUGGCUCAGGAUGAACGCUAGCUACAGGCUUAACACAUGCAAGUCGAGGGGAAACGACAUCGAAAGCUUGCUUUUGAUGGGCGUCGACCGGCGCACGGGUGAGUAACGCGUAUCCAACCUGCCCACCACUUGGGGAUAACCUUGCGAAAGUAAGACUAAUACCCAAUGACGUCUCUAGAAGACAUCUGAAGGAGAUUAAAGAUUUAUCGGUGAUGGAUGGGGAUGCGUCUGAUUAGCUUGUUGGCGGGGUAACGGCCACCAAGGCGACGAUCAGUAGGGGUUCUGAGGAGGAAGGUCCCCACACUUGGAACUGAGACACGGUCCAAACUCGUACGGAGGCA